This 424-nucleotide ribosomal RNA is filed under the name Verrucomicrobiota bacterium. RNAcentral describes it as "Verrucomicrobia bacterium partial 16S ribosomal RNA". It matches the Rfam family "Bacterial small subunit ribosomal RNA", at positions 355 to 776 of the family's 1533-position model. The record is from RNAcentral. Lineage: Bacteria; Pseudomonadati; Verrucomicrobiota.
UGAGGAAUAUUGGUCAAUGGACGAGAGUCUGAACCAGCCAAGUAGCGUGCAGGAUGACGGCCCUAUGGGUUGUAAACUGCUUUUAUAUGGGAAUAAAGUGAGGGACGUGUCCCUUAUUGCAUGUACCAUAUGAAUAAGGACCGGCUAAUUCCGUGCCAGCAGCCGCGGUAAUACGGAAGGUCCAGGCGUUAUCCGGAUUUAUUGGGUUUAAAGGGAGCGUAGGCUGUUUGUUAAGCGUGUUGUGAAAUGUAAGAGCUCAACUUUUAGAUUGCAGCGCGAACUGGCAGACUUGAGUGCGCACAACGUAGGCGGAAUUCAUGGUGUAGCGGUGAAAUGCUUAGAUAUCAUGACGAACUCCGAUUGCGAAGGCAGCUUACGGGAGCGCAACUGACGCUAAAGCUCGAAGGUGCGGGUAUCGAACAGG